Molecule: ribosomal RNA, 450 nt
Filed under: Klebsiella pneumoniae
Lineage: Bacteria; Pseudomonadati; Pseudomonadota; Gammaproteobacteria; Enterobacterales; Enterobacteriaceae
Description: bacterial SSU rRNA
Rfam family: Bacterial small subunit ribosomal RNA
Source: RNAcentral
GUAAAGCGCACGCAGGCGGUCUGUCAAGUCGGAUGUGAAAUCCCCGGGUUUCAACCUGGGAACUGCAUUCGAAACUGGCAGGCUAGAGUCUUGUAGAGGGGGGUAGAAUUCCAGGUGUAGCGGUGAAAUGCGUAGAGAUCUGGAGGAAUACCGGUGGCGAAGGCGGCCCCCUGGACAAAGACUGACGCUCAGGUGCGAAAGCGUGGGGAGCAAACAGGAUUAGAUACCCUGGUAGUCCACGCCGUAAACGAUGUCGAUUUGGAGGUUGUGCCCUUGAGGCGUGGCUUCCGGAGCUAACGCGUUAAAUCGACCGCCUGGGGAGUACGGCCGCAAGGUUAAAACUCAAAUGAAUUGACGGGGGCCCGCACAAGCGGUGGAGCAUGUGGUUUAAUUCGAUGCAACGCGAAGAACCUUACCUGGUCUUGACAUCCACAGAACUUUCCAGAGAUG